Phascolarctos cinereus (koala) is the source of this 444-nucleotide long non-coding RNA. RefSeq lists it as uncharacterized. Lineage: Eukaryota; Metazoa; Chordata; Mammalia; Diprotodontia; Phascolarctidae. The record is from RefSeq and is a predicted model, not a curated record.
GUGUGCUUGGCAGAGCAUGUGAGCAAUUUUAACACACAGCUGUACACUACAACCCUGGAGAUCAAAGUAUGGAUAAUGGGACAUUUCAGAUCAACAGUUGCCUCUGGUGUGAUGAUGGCAAGACACCAAAUGCUUUGAAUUGCUGUGAAGUCAAGUGCUCAGAACUUCUGGAAGAUGACCUCAUUAAAUCACUGAACUGUGUGAAGGUAGAUCAGUAAUUCUUAAAUUAUCUCUCCUGGAUCUAUUUUCUAGGUGGGCCUGGGAAUACAAUCACCGAGGGAAAAACCAUUCCAAAUAUCUCAAAGGUUGCCAUCUGUAACCAGACACCUUUAGGUCCUUCAAUUCAUCAUGAUUCCUCUGCCUAUAAAGAAGCUUUUUCAAAUCAAAUAUUGUAUUUUUUUCUCUUAAAAAUCAUUUCCUCAAAUAAAGUCGGCACAAAAUGAA